This 424-nucleotide ribosomal RNA is filed under the name Diplommatina cf. lenggongensis MS-2010. Its description in RNAcentral is "partial 16S ribosomal RNA". It matches the Rfam family "Archaeal large subunit ribosomal RNA", at positions 1997 to 2626 of the family's 2987-position model. Lineage: Eukaryota; Metazoa; Mollusca; Gastropoda; Architaenioglossa; Diplommatinidae. The record is from RNAcentral.
AAAUUUAACAGCCGCAGUACCCUGACUGUGCUAAGGUAGCAUAAUGAUUUGUCUCAUAAUUGGAGAAUGGAAUGAAUGGUUUGACUAAGGUAUUACUGUCUCUUGUAUAAUUACUAAAAGUUAACUUUUAAGUUAAAAGGCUUAAAUUAAAUUAAAAGACGAGAAGACCCUAUUGAGCUUUAUAACGCUUGUGUUAAUUAGAUUCUAUAUAAUAAAUAAUUUUUUGAUGGGAAACUUUUAGUUGGGGCGACUUGAGAAUAGGAAAAACUUCUCUUAGUAAAUAAUAAGAAAUACCUAAUGAUCCAAAUGAUUUUGAAUUAAAAGCAAGUUACCAUAGGGAUAACAGCGUUAUUUUUUUUGAGAGUUCUAAUCGAAAAAAAAGUUUGCGACCUCGAUGUUGGAUUAAGAAAUAAUAAAGGUUGCA